UCUACUCACUCACUGCAUCAGCACCAACAAAGACAACUACAACAACAGGCUUUCUUUUUCUUUCUCUUUCUCUGUUCUCCGCAGACAAUGCGCGAAUGAACACAAUGCGUGGAAGAGCCAAUUGAAUUGAUUUGAAUUGAAUUGAAUUGAAAGAUUGAAUUGAUCUCUUUCGCAUUCAGCACAACGACACCAAGCACUACUCUCAGUGGAGGUGUGUUUGGUGUUUCGUUUGUUUGUUGUGAUGGUGGAAGCAGGUGAGGAUUGUUGCGUGAAGGUGGCGGUCCACGUGCGACCGCUCAUCGGCGAGGAGAAGGUUCAGGGAUGCAAGGAUUGCGUCACCGUCGUUCCAGGGAAGCCUCAGGUACAAAUUGGUGCCCAUUCCUUUACAUUUGAUCAUGUUUAUGGGAGCACUGGUUCUCCCUCAUCUGCCAUGUUCGAUGAAUGUGUUGCUUCCCUUGUCGACGGUUUGUUCCAAGGAUAUAAUGCUACUGUUCUCGCAUAUGGUCAGACAGGUUCCGGGAAAACCUACACCAUGGGAACUGGCUUUAAAGAUGGUUGCCAAGAGGGAAUAAUACCUCUAGUCAUGAGUUCCUUGUUUGACAAAAUCGAGACCUUAAAGCAUCAGAUGGAAUUUCAGUUGCAUGUUUCCUUUAUCGAGAUCCUUAAAGAAGAAGUAAGAGACUUGUUGGAUCCAUCAUCUAUGAACAAACCAGAAACUGCAAAUGGACACGCAGGGAAAGUGACUAUUCCUGGGAAACCACCGAUACAAAUUCGUGAGUCAUCAAAUGGAGUCAUUACUCUAGCAGGAUCUACUGAAUUCAGUGUUACAACUCUAAAAGAAAUGGCUGCGUGCCUGGAACAAGGAUCAUUGAGUAGAGCAACUGGGAGCACAAAUAUGAACAACCAAUCCAGUCGUUCACAUGCUAUCUUCACCAUCACUUUAGAACAAAUGCGGAAAUUCAAUAGUCCUGGUGAGAUCAGUUUAAAUGAUACAAUGAAUGAAGAAUAUCUCUGUGCCAAGUUGCACUUGGUAGAUCUUGCUGGAUCAGAACGAGCUAAAAGAACAGGGUCUGAUGGUCUCCGUUUUAAGGAAGGAGUUCACAUUAACAAAGGUCUUCUAGCACUCGGUAAUGUUAUUAGUGCACUUGGUGAUGAAAAGAAGAGAAAAGAAGGAGUUCAUGUUCCUUAUCGGGACAGUAAACUUACUAGGCUUUUGCAGGAUUCACUUGGCGGUAACAGCAGAACUGUAAUGAUAGCCUGCAUAAGUCCUGCUGAUAUUAAUGCUGAGGAAACCCUUAACACUUUGAAGUAUGCAAAUCGUGCACGCAACAUCCAGAACAAGCCUGUUGUCAAUAGAGAUCCCAUGUCCAAUGAAAUGCUAAAAAUGCGACAACAACUUGAGUAUUUGCAAGCAGAACUUUGUGCUCGCUCUGGUGGCUCUUCCGAGGAAGUUCAGGUCCUCAAGGAAAGGAUUUCUUGGCUUGAAGCAGCUAAUGAAGAUCUUCGUUGUGAACUUCAUGAAUACCGCAGUAGAUGCUCUGUUGUAGAACAAUGUGAAAAGGAUGCUUAUGAUAAUAGCACAUGUAAUGCAAAGACUGAUGGUCUUAAGAGGGGCUUACCUAUAACAAACUCUGAUUAUCCAAUGAAUGAAACAACAGCAGGCGAUUCAAGGGAAAUCGAAGAAGUAGCAAAAGAGUGGGAGCAUACUCUUCUGCAAAAUAGUAUGGAUAGAGAGUUACAUGAAUUGAAUAAACGCUUGGAGCAAAAAGAGUCUGAGAUGAAGCUUUUUGGAAUAUCUGAUGCUGAAGCACUCAAGCAGCACUUUGGAAAGAAGAUAGUAGAACUGGAGGAUGAGAAAAGAGUUGUUCAGCGAGAGAGGGAUCGUCUUUUGGCCGAAGUUGAAAAUCUUGCUGCCAAUUCUGAUGGACAAAUGCAGAAAUCAGAGGAUAUCCAUGCCCAAAAACUGAAAACACUUGAAGCCCAGAUUCUUGAUCUGAAGAAGAAACAGGAGAGUCAGGUCCAGCUUCUGAAGCAAAAGCAAAAAAGUGAUGAAGCAGCGAAGCGAUUGCAAGAUGAAAUACAAUCCAUAAAGGCCCAGAAGGUUCAACUGCAACAUAGGAUAAAACAAGAGGCUGAACAGUUUCGACAAUGGAAGGCUUCUAGAGAAAAAGAGCUCCUGCAAUUAAAGAAGGAAGGAAGGAGAAAUGAGUUUGAACGGCAUAAGCUGCAAGCUUUGAAUCAGCGCCAGAAAAUGGUCCUCCAGAGGAAGACUGAAGAAGCUGCAAUGGCCACCAAAAGGUUAAAGGAGUUGCUUGAAGCUCGUAAAUCUUCCAGCCGAGACACUUUGGUUGCAAUGAAUGGAAGUGGAACGAAUGGACAGAGCAAUGAGAAGCCCUUACAACGGUGGCUUGAUCAAGAGCUGGAAGUCAUGGUAAAAGAGCAUGAAGUUCGAUUUGAGUAUGAGAAGCAAAGUCAAGUGCGAGCUGCCCUUGCGGAGGAGUUGGCCAUGCUAAAGCAAGUAAACGGGUUUGCUGCCAAGGGUCUCAGUCCUCCAAGAGGAAAGAAUGGAUUUGCUAGAGCAUCCUCCAUGUCACCAAAUGCAAGAAUGGCCAGAAUAGCUUCACUUGAGAGCAUGUUGAGCAUAUCAUCUAAUUCACUUGUGGCGAUGGCUUCUCAACUUUCUGAGGCAGAAGAACGUGAACGGGCCUUCACUAACCGUGGACGAUGGAACCAGUUGCGCUCAAUGGGAGAAGCCAAGAAUUUGCUUCAAUAUUUGUUCAAUUCUGUUGGAGAUGCUAGGUGCCAACUGUGGGAGAAGGACACCGAGAUCAGGGAAAUGAAAGAUCAAAUCAAAGAACUUGUAGGUCUAUUACGGCAAAGUGAAAUCAAGAGAAAGGAAGCUGAGAAGGAACUAAGAGUGAGAGAGCAAGCUAUUGUAACCACGUUGGCUACGCCAAUUUCUGGAAACUCUCCAAAUUCGUUGAAACACUGUGCAGAAGACACAAAGGAACCUUUAUCCCCGGAAUCUCUGCCAGUACAGAAACAGCGCAAAUAUAUGCCGGGCAUCACUAAUGGUCAAGUGAGGGAAUCAGCAGCCUUUAUAGAUCAGAGUAGAAGGAUGGUACCCAUCGGGCAACUGUCAAUGAAAAAACUAGCAAUUGUAGGACAAAGUUCUGGCAAGCUAUGGAGGUGGAAAAGAAGCCACCAUCAGUGGCUAAUGCAAUUCAAAUGGAAGUGGCAGAAGCCAUGGAGACUUUCUGAAUGGAUUCGACACAGCGAUGAGACAAUCAUGAGAACAAGGCCACGUUCACAGGCUUUGCCGUAUGUCAUGUGAAUCUGAAUGCUAUGGUGAUCAUCCAUUUGCUGUUGGCUCAGUUCAUUUUUUAACCUACAAGAAUAAUCCUAGACAUAAAGCAUUGGAAAAAACCAAAAUCUAGGUGCAGUUGCAGGGUAAUAAUUAAUGGGUUGCUGACAAUAACAUUAUACAUACUACCCGAAUGUUGGAAAUGUUUCCGUUGUUUGCUGCUUAUGAAGAGUCUUGUAAAGUAAAGUGUGUAAAAAUGUUGCCGAAGGCUUCCCAUGAAUAGGAGUUGGUGGCAUUUGUGAAGAUCUUGCCAUACAAAUUAUCUAUGAAUAUUGUGUGUAUACCAACACUGAAAGGGGAGAAAAAGAAAUAUUCUUUUGUGGAGUCUUGGAAAUGUGCAUUGAGGGUCUUCUGUUUCUUACUUGUAAGUUGUAAGUUACCAUGGUCUUACCGUGUUUUGUCAGGCAUUGAUUUUUUGUUGAUAGAUAUACUGUAGUCUUCCUCUGUCACAAAGCAACAGAAGGAAAUUCUUCUGUUUUACCUGUAGGUCUUGUGUGUAAAAAAUAUUAACUAUAUUGAAAGAGAUUGUAAUUUACCAUACCAGAGUUUGUAGCAAGGAAAUUUUUAAUCAGUUUUCCCCCCUUUUUAA
Molecule: unclassified non-coding RNA, 3953 nt
Organism: Vigna unguiculata (cowpea)
Lineage: Eukaryota; Viridiplantae; Streptophyta; Magnoliopsida; Fabales; Fabaceae
Source: RefSeq, a predicted model, not a curated record